AUUGAACGCUGGCGGCAUGCUUUACACAUGCAAGUCGAACGGCAGCGCGGGCUUCGGCCUGGCGGCGAGUGGCGAACGGGUGAGUAAUACAUCGGAACGUGCCCAGUAGUGGGGGAUAGCUCGGCGAAAGCCGGAUUAAUACCGCAUACGACCUGAGGGUGAAAGCGGGGGAUCUUCGGACCUCGCGCUAUUGGAGCGGCCGAUGGCAGAUUAGCUAGUUGGUGGGGUAAAGGCCUACCAAGGCGACGAUCUGUAGCUGGUCUGAGAGGACGACCAGCCACACUGGGACUGAGACACGGCCCAGACUCCUACGGGAGGCAGCAGUGGGGAAUUUUGGACAAUGGGCGAAAGCCUGAUCCAGCAAUGCCGCGUGUGUGAUGAAGGCCUUCGGGUUGUAAAGCACUUUUGGCGGGAACGAAAGGGACUGUGCCAAUAU
Molecule: ribosomal RNA, 436 nt
Filed under: Lautropia mirabilis
Lineage: Bacteria; Pseudomonadati; Pseudomonadota; Betaproteobacteria; Burkholderiales; Burkholderiaceae
Description: bacterial SSU rRNA
Rfam family: Bacterial small subunit ribosomal RNA
Source: RNAcentral